UUUCCCCCUUUUUUUUUUCCUCUUCCUUUCUGAUCAUUUUUAACCAUUUUAGUUUUAAUUAGCCAUUUUUCUCUUUACUCUCCUAAUAAAUAUUAGGCAGAGUAAAUUCAAGCACUGGACCUUUUUCUGGCAUAGUGAGUUUCUCACUCUCGAUUGCAUGUUGUAAUUCUGAUAUAAAAUACUGUAAAACUGUAAAUUAUCUUCUGCUUGAUGUAAAUUUGGCUUGUAAAGUUGUAGAUUCUGUACAAGGAACAUGUAAGCCUUAUAAUGGCAUAAUCCAACAAGGAUAUUUCGUUUUGAUCAGUAUAUGAGCUCUGCGAGAAGAGGCCUCCAAUCGAUUUUGUCAAUGUAGUACUGGCUACUGGGUAAUGUUUUUCAGUAACGUGCUUGAAAGAGCUCUUUGCCCCAACCACACGCCAAACUUCAUCGUUGGUCAAUACAAGAUUGACCUGUGGCACAACAAGUCCUUCUGGAUAGCUAGUAACCAUCGUCGAUGAAUUAAAACAAACACCGAAAGGUUUAACGGAAGCAACGCGGGUGAUAUUCAUGGCUUUAUCCCUCUUCACAUAAGGACUAGUGAAAGCCUUAUUGAUGUCUCCAUAGCAGUAAAAGGAAUUAGAGUGCUGAAUUUCGUUCCACCAACUCCAUUUUUUCUGUUAAUAGAUAACAAACUUUUGUGUAUUGCGACUUUUUCAUCAUCUAUCUUGAUUGAGUUGACACCAAUGUAGUAAUCGCUAGAAAAAUCUUGAUGAGUGGGGUGUAAAUGAAAGAAGGCCUCAACCUUUUCCU
Molecule: long non-coding RNA, 789 nt
Organism: Papaver somniferum (opium poppy)
Lineage: Eukaryota; Viridiplantae; Streptophyta; Magnoliopsida; Ranunculales; Papaveraceae
Exons: 3
Source: RefSeq, a predicted model, not a curated record